CCUACGGGGUGCAGCAGUGAGGAAUAUUUGUCAAUGGGCGCGAGCCUGAACCAGCCAAGUAGCGUGAAGGAUGACUGCCCUACGGGUUGUAAACUUCUUUUAUAAAGGAAUAAAGUGAGGCACGUGUGCCUUUUUGUAUGUACUUUAUGAAUAAGGAUCGGCUAACUCCGUGACAGCAGCCGCGGUAAUACGGAGGAUCCGAGCGUUAUCCGGAUUUAUUGGGUUUAAAGGUAGCGUAGAUGGGUUGUUAAGUCAGUUGUGAAAGGUGGCGGCUCAACCGGAAAAUUGCAAUUGAUACUGGCAGACUUGAGUACAGUAGAGGUAGGCGGAAUUCGUGGUGUAGCAGUGAAAUGCGUAGAUAUCACGAAGAACACUGAUUGCGAAGGCGGCCUCCUAGACAGCCACUGACAUUGAUGCUCGAAGGUGUGGGUAUCAAACAGGAUUAGAUACCCCAGUAGUC
Molecule: ribosomal RNA, 460 nt
Filed under: uncultured bacterium
Lineage: Bacteria
Description: partial 16S ribosomal RNA
Rfam family: Bacterial small subunit ribosomal RNA
Source: RNAcentral